This is a non-coding RNA of Chlorocebus sabaeus (green monkey), 5004 nucleotides long. NCBI's taxonomy places the organism in Eukaryota, Metazoa, Chordata, Mammalia, Primates, Cercopithecidae. The record is from RefSeq and is a predicted model, not a curated record.
GGGCCGCGCCCACCACCCUAGCCUGUUUCAAGGAGGGGUAAGCCCAGCGUGAGGCUCAUUGGCUCGACAGGGGCACGUGAUGGGUCCUGAGCCAAUCCGUGGAAGGUAAAAGCUGCUUCCUGUUUGGGCAUCUGUCCGCCGCGGGUCUGGUUUUGAGCUGCUGCGGUCCCGGACUGAGGAUUAGCUCCUUGGGAGCAGACAACUGUCCUCACUGGCACAGAGGAGGAGCGCUCAGUAAAUUCUUGCUGGACGAAUAAACGACUAGAUAAGAUAAGGCAACUCCAGCCCCUGGAAGGCCAGAGACUUGCCAGUGUCCCACUAGCGGGCUCUUUACAAGAAUCUCCCUGGGCCCGCCGCAGCCAGGUGGCGGACUGCAGAGCGCGCUGCUGGGGCAUGGCGGAGGAGCGGCCAGGGGCCUGGUUCGGCUUCGGUUUUUGCGGCUUCGGGCAGGAGCUGGGCUCCGGACGCGGGCACCAGGUGCACAGCCCCAGUCCGCUGCGGGCGGGCGUCGACGUCUGCCGCGUGAGCGCGAGCUGGAGCUACACCGCCUUCGUGACUCGUGAGCGCUCCCCGCCCCGUCCCCACUUAUUCCAGCAGCACUCUCCAGUCGCCUCCCCUCACCGCUGUGGUGGAGGCCGCGUGGAGCUGUCGGGCUCAGCCAGCGGCGCGGCGGGCGGCUGCAGGGACGCGUGGGCCUCGGAGGGGCUCCUCCUGGUGCUGCGCGCUGGGCCGGGGCCGGACGCGUUACUGCAGGCCUGGGCGCCCGACUCGGCGCUGCGUGGGGAGCCCUUGUGGGCCCACAAUGUGGUGCCCGAGGCCGUAGAGGAAGACGAUCCGGGCGGUGAGGCCCAGACUGGGAGGCUACCCCUGUUGCCCUGCGCCCGUGCCUACGUGAGCCCGCGGCCUCCCUUCUACCGGCCUCUGGCUCCGGAGCUGCGGGCGCGCCAGCUGGAGCUGGGAGCCGAGCACGCGUUGCUGCUAGACGCCGCUGGUCAGGUGUUCUCCUGGGGCGGGGGCAGGCAUGGACAGCUGGGCCAUGGGACCCUGGAGGCAGAGCUGGAGCCACGGCUAUUGGAGGCGUUGCAGGGCCUAACCAUGGCUGAGGUGGCCGCAGGGGGCUGGCAUUCUGUGUGUGUGAGUGAGACUGGGGAUAUUUAUAUCUGGGGCUGGAAUGAAUCGGGGCAGCUGGCCCUGCCCACCAGGAACCUGGCAGAGGAUGGAGAGACUGUCGCAAGGGAAGCCACAGGACUGAAUGAAGAUGGUUCUCAGGUGAAGAGAACGGGCCAGGUUGAGGAUGGAGCCCCUGCCCCCUUCAUAGCUGUCCAGCCCUUCCCAGCAUUACUGGAUCUCCCCUUGGGCUCAGAUGCAGUCAAGGAACAGGGGAGCUCUACACCUGGGGCUGGGGUAAAUAUGGACAGCUGGGCCACGAGGACACCACCAGCUUGGAUUGGCCCCGCCGUGUGGAAUACUUUGUAGACAAGCAACUCCAAGUAAAGGCUGUCACCUGUGGGCCCUGGAACACCUACGUGUAUGCUGUGGAGAAAGGGAAGAGCUGACAUGUACCAACCAACUCAAAAAGUGACUGGGGAUAAAAAGGAAACACCACACUGUAUCUUUUUGAAAUGUAAGUAUACAGAUUUUAAUUUAUUUUUAAGAAUAAUUUUAUAUUUUAAAAACAGGACACGUACUGUAUGAGUAAACAAGUGUGGCCGACACAGACCAAGUCCACACUGGUAAGCUUUUGAGAACCAUUUACACUAAGUUGACAGUAGUACUGCUGCAGGCAGACAGAGGAAGAAUAAAUAAUAGUGCUUCAAGAAGAGUAGUGAUUGAGAGGGUAGGUAAAGAGGGCAUCUCAUCGUGGAUGCUAGAGCAGGAACAACUCCCCAGUAGUGACAUGUGCAAAGUUCCAGAUCUCCACGACAAAGACAGCCCAACCCAUUGGAACAAACAGACAGACUUCCAAUGCAGCUGGCAACUGCAGGGGUAGAAGAACUCAGGCAAAGUAGGCACAGGAAUGGGGAGAUGGGAGCCAGGGAGAAACGCUGAGGAAAGCAUUCCAACAAGCAUGUGUGUUCAUACAUGCAUACCCCCAACAAAGGGCAUUGCACUGUGUAACAGAACUGAACACAAUUUAACAAAGCAGUUCCCAGCCUUCCUGUCACCUCUUUGGCAGUAGGGCAGGCCAUCUCAACUUCAGACACACAGACAUUCUCAUCAGGAGGAAGGCUGUCCUGUGUGGUGGGGACAAAGCUUCAGGUGAGAGCAAAGCUAUGAUAGCUACAGCUUUAAUUGAACAUGCCUAAACAAAAAAGAUGUUAAUUACUAGUUACAGGUAUACAUGCCAGAAUUACCCCAGGGAUGGGCAUAGUCAGUCAUUUUCCUACACAGUGGUGAAAUAAAACAAGUUUUGAUCAUGCUUCAGCAAGUAGAAUUAUGUGGUAGAGGUCAGGCCCCAUAUGCUAAAAUUUGCACUUCCUGCCAUAAACUUUUAAUGUAUUUAAGUCAAAACCAAGUCUCCUAGGACCACCAAACCUAUGAUGGACUUUCAUCUGUAACACUCAUUCACAUCUUUAAGUUAGGCCCAUGGUCAUGGAACCUGUCCAGGGUUUCAAGCACGCCUACGCUGAAGAAAAACUACGGUCACCCCCAUAUAACUAGGUCCAGUCUAGGCACAGGAAGCCCCAGCUGGUUGACUGAUCAGGGCUUCUCAGGACUGGAUGUUGGUUGAAUUGAGGAUUCCAGAAGUAGCAUCAGAUUUGGAAGCCUUUGAAAGUUCUCGCUGUUGAAAAAUAAAUAACAUCAGUGGCAAUACUGCCUCUAUUACACAUGCCCCACCCUUCUAAGUAUGGUUAAGUGUCAGCAAAAGGUCCCUUGAAGGCAGUUUCUCUGAGAUCCCCAGCCUGGCAUAGGCUGCGUUAGGAGUAAAAGGCGAAGAACUCUGAGCACCAUUCUAUUAGUCAUAGACAGAGUGCAUGUACACGCAUACCUGUGAUCCCUUUCCUCAGCCAGUCCCUUCUGUUACACCUCAGAGAAGAGAAAUCCUUCAUACAGUCAUGCACCACAUAAUGACGUUUCAGUUAACAACAGGCCACAUACACUAUGGUGGUCCCAUAAGAUUAUACCAUAUUUUUACUGUACCUUUUCUAUGUUUAGAUACACAAAUACUUACCAUUGCGUUACAACUGCCUACAGUAUCCCAGCCUGAAUCAAAAAAACCCACAAUUGCCUAUAGUAUUCUUUCUGUAACAUGCUGCCCAGGUUUGUAGCCUAGGAGGAAAAUGCCAUACCAUAUAGCUUAGGUGUGUAGGCUGUACUGUCUAGGACUGUUAAGUACACACUGAUAUGUGCACAAUGAAAUUGCCCCACACAUUCUCAGAACAUAUCCCUGUCAUUAAGUGAGGCGUGACUCUACUUCACAAAGCUACUUUAGAGUCGUCAAGUAGGCAACAAGCUUUGGUCUCCUGAAGCCCUCUAUAAAACAAUGGGCCAGAACAUAUAUCUACCAAUCCCUGGGGCUGAGGCCUUGUAACCUGCUGGUGAUUUGAUCUCAUGCUGGAGCACAUGGUAUAGCAGCAAAAGAUAAAGCAUGAAUGGCCAUUGAGAAAGACAGAUAUUAGCAGAGGUUAGUUUACUGGCUUUGGUGCUGCCUGGUGGAGUCUAUCAGCCAUAGCAACCCAAACCAGAUGAACCUACCUAGGACUAGCCACAGAGAUAGGCAGGUACAUUUAAGCCUCAACUAGAUAAAAUGGGCCUUGGUUGAACAAGCAAAAAAGAGAAAGCUGGACCUCUGUCCAGCAGUCAGCCAGAGUGACACACACCCACUUUUAUAGGUAGAAGCACCACCAGCCAUGUAAUUUGAAAAACUUGCUGGAGUAGGAAGCCAGUUUCAGUGAUUAAAAUUAGCUGCAGCCUUGGCCAACUGUUCCAUUCUCCAUCCCUGCAGCAAUUAAGAGGGGAGGCAGGCUAGGGGUUUAACUCAACAUCCCCUCAAGGGUGAGGGACAUCCUCACCUCUUGCUAAUAAAAUAUUGAGAGAAGAGAAGAUAGAUUAAGUAAAAGGCAGUGUAAUUAGGUGUUAGCAGAUAUAGAGUAGGAUACUAGGAAGUGAAGAGCAUUCUGGAAAAACGUGCUUCCAAUGCUGCUUCUAUGCUUCAGUAGCUCAAUGUAUGGAAAGAGGCAAAGGUGAGGAAAUCGGCAUUAGCUAGCUGAGAAUAGACAGAGCUGGCAGUUGAGCCCUGAGGUUAGGAAGGCAUAUACUCCAGGAAAUAAUCAGCACACAGGCCAAGAGCCUCGUUGUAGGCAGCACACAGCUGGGGCUCCCUUCCCCAUGUGAUGGGGCCUCUAUUCUUUCCAGCUACUGCAGGCCUUUGAUGUCACAAUUGGGGAGGGUCAAGGUUUUCUGUUAAAACACAAUUUAAAACUGCCUGACUUUAGGGGCUGAGAAUCCAAUUCAAGUCUGAACAAAUUUUCUUAUUAAUCUGUUGUGAAUGUAAAUCAGAUGUGUUUUUUUUGAGUCCAUGAUAGGAAUUCCUGCUUCCUUUGUAACACUGCCGAGAUUAUUGGUUAGUGUAGCCCUGUGCCCAGAUGAAUGAAGCUAGCAGAUGACAGAUCAGUUUGGAAAAGGGACAUGGGACAUGCAGGGGUUGCCAUACAGACCUGAAGCCCAACAGUGGAACUGUCAGAGAGGGACGGAUCCUUCUAAGAACAAAGAAUUGAGACAAUUACCAAGAACUCCACCAAGAGAGCACCAGGGCAGUGAUAGAGGGGUUGCCUCCCGCAGCCAGGGAAUGGUAUAUAUUAAGCAGAAGGAUCCAGGUUCAAUGUCUAGUUGCUGCUGCCAACUUCCUUCCUAUACAACCCCCUCUUAAAUCACACCCACCCUGCCAUGGUCAAAGCAGGAAAGGGAUUCUCAGCCUCCAAGGUAGCUGCCCUAGCUAAUAGCCUGGGUGCCCCUGGGAAGAUACCCACUCUGCCCCAACUGUGUGCUCCCCAGAGACUGGUA